Molecule: ribosomal RNA, 497 nt
Filed under: uncultured bacterium
Lineage: Bacteria
Description: partial 16S ribosomal RNA
Rfam family: Bacterial small subunit ribosomal RNA
Source: RNAcentral
GAUGAACGCUGGCGGCGUGCCUAAUACAUGCAAGUCGAACGAACAGACGAGGAGCUUGCUCCGCUGACGUUAGCGGCGGACGGGUGAGAAACACGUGGAUAACCUACCUAUAAUACUGGGAUAACUACGGGAAACCGGAGCUAAUACCGGAGAAUAUACUGAACCGCAUGGGUGAAUAGUGAAAGACGGUGUUGCGGGCACGUAUAGAUGGAUCCGGGCCGCAUUAGCUGGUUGGUAAGGUAACGGCCUACGAAGGCAACGAUGGGUAGCCGACGUGAGGGGGUGAUCGGCGACACUGGAAGUUGGCCAGCGACCAGGGGCCUGAGGGACGGCGCAGUAGGGAAUCGUCCGCAGCGGGCGGGAACCUGGCGGAGCAGGGCGGAGUGAGUGGUGACGGUCUUCGGAUCGUAAUACCGUGUUAUUGGGGAAGAACAAAUGUCGAAGUAAACAUGGAGGUAUUGACGGUAACUAAUAAGAAAGCCCCGGCUAACUACGUG